UGUGUGCUCUGUGAUGGACUGGCGACCUGUCCAGGGUGUAUCCCACCUUUCACCCUAGGCCAGUUGGGAUUGGCUUCAGCAACCAUGCACAGAUAAGUGGGUAUAGAUGAUGGAUGGAUUUUAGUAUGAGCCUGAAAUCAUCUCAGGGGUAAAGCUAUAUGCUAUUGCACUGAUGGACACAUCGCAGUAACAUGCCAAUAUAGCAAUGACCCUACAAUGGGUCGAAGAUGACGGCUGCUAGGAUAACAUGGGUGCACGCAAAGAAAGAUGUUGGUGGCAUUUCAAUGAACUGGUCACCUUUAGCUCACUGAAGGAAGGAAAUGGAUACAGACACACACAGUGUGAUUUGAGGUCAGAUAAAGCUGCCAAAGUGUCUGGAGUCUGUGUCAGGCUCAUCCUGGAGCUGCCUCCCCUGACACUAACAUCUGAUAAGGUUUCAGGAAAUCCACUCUAAUCCCUGCUGAUCCACCCAAUGGGAGGUAGAGGCCACCUAACCGAUGCCAGGCAGUCGGUGAAAUGAAGGGGUUGCCGAAGUCACUGCAGCUGAGCAUCCGUGAAAAAUCAAAUAAUGAGAAGAAUCUAUGAAUGUG
Long non-coding RNA from Micropterus dolomieu (smallmouth bass), 590 nucleotides. RefSeq lists it as uncharacterized. The transcript has 2 exons. Lineage: Eukaryota; Metazoa; Chordata; Actinopteri; Centrarchiformes; Centrarchidae. The record is from RefSeq and is a predicted model, not a curated record.